Molecule: ribosomal RNA, 254 nt
Filed under: uncultured bacterium
Lineage: Bacteria
Description: partial 16S ribosomal RNA
Rfam family: Bacterial small subunit ribosomal RNA
Source: RNAcentral
UACGGGGGGAGCAAGCGUUGUCCGGAUUUAUUGGGCGUAAAGAGCUCGUAGGCGGUUCGGCAAGUCGGGUGUGAAAUUUCGAGGCUCAACCUCGAAACGCCACUCGAUACUGCUGUGACUGGAGUCCGGUAGAGGAGUGCGGAAUUCCUGGUGUAGUGGUGAAAUGCGCAGAUAUCAGGAGGAACACCAACGGCGAAGGCAGCACUCUGGGCCGGUACUGACGCUGAGGAGCGAAAGCGUGGGGAGCAAACAGG